GGGAGCGUGGCGGAAUUGGCAGACGCAACGGACUUAAAAUCCGUCGUCUUCGGACAUGUGGGUUCGAGUCCCACCGCUCCUA
Molecule: transfer RNA, 82 nt
Rfam family: tRNA
About the family: Transfer RNA (tRNA) molecules are approximately 80 nucleotides in length. Their secondary structure includes four short double-helical elements and three loops (D, anti-codon, and T loops).